AUACCGCAAGACAGUCAACAUAAUAUUAUUUUGAUUUCAGCAGCAUACAAGUUAACUGAGAAAAAGUAUAAUAUCUACAUUACCGACUAAUCAGCGAGAAUUUUCAAGCAAUGGUACUUUAGGUAAAUCUAACAAACGUAAUUAUAACAAAAUCACUUACAUAUCAAAGAACCCCAAAUUGAAAGCGUCAAAACCCUAGUCCUGAUUGGAAGUAAAAAAGCAAAGAUUGCCCAACAGCCGAAUUGAGAGAGCGUGAAAAUUAGAACUGCAGACAUCCGAUUUACGGAUUUUCUGACUUUUGGGCCGAGGUGGAGAUUUGGGGAGAAGACAUAAAAUUCGGGUCGAACCAAGAAAACGAG
This 359-nucleotide long non-coding RNA is filed under the name Olea europaea subsp. europaea. The record is from RNAcentral. Lineage: Eukaryota; Viridiplantae; Streptophyta; Magnoliopsida; Lamiales; Oleaceae.